RNAcentral lists this non-coding RNA (148 nucleotides) under Gorilla gorilla gorilla (western lowland gorilla). Lineage: Eukaryota; Metazoa; Chordata; Mammalia; Primates; Hominidae. The record is from Rfam by way of RNAcentral.
GCCAGGCAUGGUGGCGGGUGCCUGUAAUCCCAGCUACUCAGGAGGCUGAGGUGGGAGAAUCGCUUGAACCCGGGAGGCAGAGGUUGCAGUGAGCCGAGAUCGCACCACUGCACUCCAGCCUGGGUGACAGAGCGAGACUCUAUCUCAA